UACGUAGGGUGCGAGCGUUAAUCGGAAUUACUGGGCGUAAAGCGUGCGCAGGCGGCGCGUUAAGACAGGUGUGAAAGCCCCGAGCUUAACUUGGGAAUUGCGCUUGUGACUGGCGAGCUGGAGUGUGGCAGAGGGAGGUGGAAUUCCACGUGUAGCAGUGAAAUGCGUAGAGAUGUGGAGGAACACCGAUGGUGAAGGCAGCCUCCUGGGCCAGCACUGACGCUCAUGCACGAAAGCGUGGGGAGCAAACAGG
Molecule: ribosomal RNA, 253 nt
Filed under: uncultured bacterium
Lineage: Bacteria
Description: partial 16S ribosomal RNA
Rfam family: Bacterial small subunit ribosomal RNA
Source: RNAcentral